RNAcentral lists this ribosomal RNA (665 nucleotides) under Sarocladium spinificis. Its description in RNAcentral is "partial large subunit ribosomal RNA". It matches the Rfam family "Eukaryotic large subunit ribosomal RNA", at positions 76 to 770 of the family's 3401-position model. The record is from RNAcentral. Lineage: Eukaryota; Fungi; Ascomycota; Sordariomycetes; Hypocreales; Sarocladiaceae.
UGCCUCAGUAACGGCGAGUGAAGCGGCAACAGCUCAAAUUUGAAAUCUGGCCGCAAGGUCCGAGUUGUAAUUUGCAGAGGAUGCUUUUGGCGAGGUGCCUUCCGAGUUCCCUGGAACGGGACGCCAUAGAGGGUGAGAGCCCCGUACGGUAGGACCACCGAGCCUUUGUAAAGCUCCUUCGACGAGUCGAGUAGUUUGGGAAUGCUGCUCUAAAUGGGAGGUGUACGUCUUCUAAAGCUAAAUACCGGCCAGAGACCGAUAGCGCACAAGUAGAGUGAUCGAAAGAUGAAAAGCACUUUGAAAAGAGGGUUAAAAAGUACGUGAAAUUGUUGAAAGGGAAGCAUUCAUGACCAGACUUGGGCUUGGUUGAACAUCCGGCGUUCUCGCCGGUGCACUCUGCCAGUCCAGGCCAGCAUCAGUUUGCCCCGGGGGACAAAGGCGGUGGGAAUGUGGCUCUCUCCGGGGAGUGUUAUAGCCCGCCGUGUAAUGCCCUGGGGCGGACUGAGGAACGCGCUUCGGCUCGGAUGCUGGCGUAAUGGUCAUCAAUGACCCGUCUUGAAACACGGACCAAGGAGUCGUCUUCGUAUGCGAGUGUUCGGGUGUCAAACCCCUACGCGAAAUGAAAGUGAACGUAGGUGAGAGCUUCGGCGCAUCACCGACCGAUC